Long non-coding RNA from Hippocampus comes (tiger tail seahorse), 1254 nucleotides. RefSeq lists it as uncharacterized. The record is from RefSeq and is a predicted model, not a curated record. Lineage: Eukaryota; Metazoa; Chordata; Actinopteri; Syngnathiformes; Syngnathidae. The transcript has 4 exons.
AGGUUUUAAUGCAAUGGCAAUUGAACUAAACAAGGAUUACGUGGACCGCAGUCGCUAAUCGUACAGUUUUACGGUGCUGCCUGUUAUCUGAUUGACCACAGGUCUGCCGUGGUUGUUUUAAUCCCGAUUGUUCGAGCGGUUCUUUGCAGCCAUGCUAGGCUACUUCACUGCCUCCACCUCCGCGUCGAGGCAGAACAAAGGGGCGUGAAGAAGAAGAGCCCCUCUCCCUCUCUUCCGGAGAACAUCCAGCAACUUUGUUGAGGCGGCGCGGCCACCAAGUUAGCUCGCGCUCGCUCCAUGCUAACCUGGCGAAGAGGACGCCGCUGCGCCGCUACUAGCUUGCCGAGAAGCAACCGAGGCGACGUCUCUGAUGGGCACUUUGCCGGAGAUAAACGCGAGUCGCAGAGUCGCUGAUUGAACAACCCAACUCUAGAAGCGAGCCCGGACCCCGCCGCUCUCAUUGGACGCAGGCUGAGCGGCAGUCGGCCUCCCAUUGGCCGAGUGGCGGAACAACAGGCAGCAGGAUGGCCCGGCCGUCCGUCCACCCACCCACCGAGGCCACAUGGAACAAUAACCCGAGCUCGCAGCCCCAAACAGGGCGAGGAGGAGCCUGACCUCGGUGUCACCACUGAGGGUCAGCAGGGCCAGCCUGCCUUUGCUGCGCUUCUUAAUGGCCGGAGCCGAGCCACGUGGAGCGGGAGAUGGGGCUUUGAGAAAGUCAGUGCCUGUCUGACACCCUGCCUUUACAGCUUGCCAACUCCAUUACUGCCCAAGCGGAUUUCAUCAUCAAUUUUGCACAGGAUAUAGUGUCAACUUUAGCGUUGUUGUCCAUAUUUACCCUAAUGUAUGUCCAUAAACUGUCGUGGCUUCUAAUCCAUCCAAUAGAGCAAACAGCACAGAAAGUUAAAGUCAAGUUGGUGAAACUGUCUAGAAUUCUUAUUGUUGGAGCAUUUUUCUGAGUAUGAGUACAUACGUACGGUUUCAGCACCAAUACCAGUGUUGGUGCAUUCUAACUUAAAGCCUCAUGUUUAAGGCGAAGGUUUUUUGCCAUGACUUUCAUCAAAGUCUACUUUGCAGCCAUCCAUUUUCUCUUAUGCUUGACCUCAUUAGGGUGAGUUGAAGCAUAAACCCAGUUUACAUGCUUUGAGCAAAAUUUUGGGUACACCAUGGAGGUUCCACACCCAGCCUUAUCACAUGAGCAUUCGUAUUCAGUCUUCAGCUGAGCCUAUAUGGUGAAUACCUUGUUUAGUGUCA